This 402-nucleotide ribosomal RNA is filed under the name uncultured bacterium. RNAcentral describes it as "bacterial SSU rRNA". It matches the Rfam family "Bacterial small subunit ribosomal RNA", at positions 355 to 774 of the family's 1533-position model. The record is from RNAcentral.
UGGGGAAUAUUGGACAAUGGGCGCAAGCCUGAUCCAGCCAUGCCGCGUGAGUGAUAAAGGCCCUAGGGUUGUAAAGCUCUUUUGUGCGGGAAGAUAAUGACUGUACCGCAAGAAUAAGCCCCGGCUAACUUCGUGCCAGCAGCCGCGGUAAUACGAAGGGGGCUAGCGUUGCUCGGAAUCACUGGGCGUAAAGGGUGCGUAGGCGGGUCUUUAAGUCAGGGGUGAAAUCCUGGAGCUCAACUCCAGAACUGCCUUUGAUACUGAGGAUCUUGAGUUCGGGAGAGGUGAGUGGAACUGCGAGUGUAGAGGUGAAAUUCGUAGAUAUUCGCAAGAACACCAGUGGCGAAGGCGGCUCACUGGCCCGAUACUGACGCUGAGGCACGAAAGCGUGGGGAGCAAACA